This 658-nucleotide ribosomal RNA is filed under the name uncultured Pseudomonadales bacterium. RNAcentral's name for it is "bacterial SSU rRNA". It matches the Rfam family "Bacterial small subunit ribosomal RNA", at positions 119 to 772 of the family's 1533-position model. The record is from RNAcentral. Lineage: Bacteria; Pseudomonadati; Pseudomonadota; Gammaproteobacteria; Pseudomonadales.
AGGAAUCUGCCUGGUAGUGGGGGACAACGUUUCGAAAGGAACGCUAAUACCGCAUACGUCCUACGGGAGAAAGCAGGGGACCUUCGGGCCUUGGCGCUAUCAGAUGAGCCUAGGUCGGAUUAGCUAGUUGGUGAGGUAAUGGCUCACCAAGGCGACGAUCCGUAACUGGUCUGAGAGGAUGAUCAGUCACACUGGAACUGAGACACGGUCCAGACUCCUACGGGAGGCAGCAGUGGGGAAUAUUGGACAAUGGGCGAAAGCCUGAUCCAGCCAUGCCGCGUGUGUGAAGAAGGUCUUCGGAUUGUAAAGCACUUUAAGUUGGGAGGAAGGGCAUUAACCUAAUACGUUAGUGUUUUGACGUUACCGACAGAAUAAGCACCGGCUAACUCUGUGCCAGCAGCCGCGGUAAUACAGAGGGUGCAAGCGUUAAUCGGAAUUACUGGGCGUAAAGCGCGCGUAGGUGGUUUGUUAAGUUGGAUGUGAAAGCCCCGGGCUCAACCUGGGAACUGCAUCCAAAACUGGCAAGCUAGAGUACGGUAGAGGGUGGUGGAAUUUCCUGUGUAGCGGUGAAAUGCGUAGAUAUAGGAAGGAACACCAGUGGCGAAGGCGACCACCUGGACUGAUACUGACACUGAGGUGCGAAAGCGUGGGGAGCAAA